This 23-nucleotide non-coding RNA is filed under the name Cricetulus griseus (Chinese hamster). The record is from RNAcentral. Lineage: Eukaryota; Metazoa; Chordata; Mammalia; Rodentia; Cricetidae.
GCAUGGAAUGAACAAAGGCUGCU